GAUGAACGCUAGCUACAGGCUUAACACAUGCAAGUCGCGGGGCAGCAUGGGGGUUGCUUGCAAUCCCCGAUGGCGACCGGCGCACGGGUGAGUAACGCGUAUCCAACCUGCCCUUCACCACGGGAUAACCCGGCGAAAGUCGGACGAAUACCGUAUGUUGUCCAUUGACGGCAUCCGAUUUGGACGCAGGGCUGGGCGGUGAGGGAUGGGGAUGCGUCCGAUUAGCCAGACGGCGGGGUAACGGCCCACCGUGGCUACGAUCGGUAGGGGUUCUGAGAGGAAGGUCCCCCACACUGGAACUGAGACACGGUCCAGACUCCUACGGGAGGCAGCAGCGAGGAAUAUUGGUCAAUGGGCGUAAGCCUGAACCAGCCAAGUAGCGUGCAGGAUGACGGCCCUAUGGGUUGUAAACUGCUUUUAUGCGGGGAUAAAGUGGCCCACGUGUGGGCUUUUGCAGGUACCGCAUGAAUAAGGACCGGCUAAUUCCGUG
This 490-nucleotide ribosomal RNA is filed under the name uncultured bacterium. Its description in RNAcentral is "partial 16S ribosomal RNA". It matches the Rfam family "Bacterial small subunit ribosomal RNA", at positions 28 to 507 of the family's 1533-position model. The record is from RNAcentral.